Molecule: long non-coding RNA, 8416 nt
Filed under: Triticum aestivum (bread wheat)
Lineage: Eukaryota; Viridiplantae; Streptophyta; Magnoliopsida; Poales; Poaceae
Description: long non-coding RNA (TAES_LNC006850)
Source: RNAcentral
AAAGAAGUUUGCGUGCAUCAUUUUCCCCCUCACCGUUGUGUUGAUUUUUUCUACAUAUUCUUUGAAGAGGCAAUUCCAACAAAAGAAUGUGUCCAAAGCCAUAAAAGCUUCACUGAAGGUCGCUGACACAAUCAACUGUGCUGCCCAGCCAAGCUCAUUCCUAUAAUGUGAAAGUGAAGAGAUGUGUCGCUGAUUUACGCCAAGAGAUGUGCACAGGUUAUUCCUAUAAUUAUCCGAUUUCCAUGAGGAAGGCCCCUCCUCAAUCUGUAACCUUCAUUGGGUAUGAGAACCUCAGUCUGUAAUCUUUAUCGGAUAUAUAAAUGAGUUUGCCCCGGCGAGAAAUGUAUUUCCAUCUUGUUCUUGUGUGGACAUUGAGCUUUUGAGUGUUGUUUAGUCGGACAUGUUAGGUGCAGUAAUUCCUGUAACCAAGAGCAGGUUAUAAUAUUAUAUGUUGAUUCUUGUAAGACGAUGUAACAGUGAGUGCAUUGGCGGACACAAAGGAAAUGAAAGAAACUCAAGUGUUUAUUCCAGAUGAGUUGUUGUUCCAGUAUUAUAAUUGCAGUGUGUAGCAAUUUUCCUAAUGCAAUCAUUACUAAAUAAAUAUUUAGGCAUUAACACGCAAUUGCUCAUUUUCAGCUGACCAACUUAAACAUGUUUCUAAUUCACUACUGUAUAGUUAAGGAAUUUUUUUCUAUUUGGAAAGAGAAAAGUCCACUUUUCAACCUACAAGUUACUAAUUGGUUUAAGAACGAGUUAAAUACAACAUGGGUGUCUUAACUUGUCCGUUGCGAUCAGUUUAGUGCCCAAACUUGUAAAAUACACAAAAGUGGUAUUAUAUGCAUAUAUAGUAUCACUGUUUGUAGCCAGCUGGUGCCUGGCCCACAUGUCUGUGGGUGUGAGGGUCGCCUGCGCAGGCUGAGAUGCAUGUGAGUUUUCUUUGCAAAAAAACACCAUGAGGUUUAAUUUAAUGUCGCAAAAGCCCUUAUUCUGUAUGCUAAUAACAUUGGAAAAAUAUAUUGCGUCAUUGAAUGGGUUACGAACCUGGGACUUCAGGUUAAAUAGCAUGCACGCUAGCCAGCCGGACGAACAGCACUUUGUGUACAUGCUAUGCGCCAGGUACUUGGUUUGAAUCCUGCCGGCACGCCCUUUUCUUUCUUGUUACUAUCUCAUCCCACGUGCUAACAUGUGGGAACAAUACAGUUCGACAUAUUUAAAUAAAAUGUGAAGAGCUUUUGUGACAUUUAAUUAAAGUACAUGUCGUUUUCUGUAAAAACAACCAGCACGCUCCUCUCAUAGCCAUUGACAUGUGGGCCAACGGUACAUUUACAUACCAUAGGGGCAGUGCAUACGGCCGGGUACGGACGGAGGCAACGUAUUCGAACGCUCGGACAAGUUACAACAUCAGUUUCAUGUAUUUUAUAAGUUUGGCAUCAAAGUGACCGCGUCGGACAAGUAAAGGCACUGAUGGUGUAUUUAACUCUUUAAGAAUCAAAUCUCAACUUCAAAACCUAUUACUGCACACCUAAACUUUCAAUACUGUUGGUAACUUGAGGGUUGAAAAGUGGACUUUUCUAGUAAGGAAACAAAGAUGACUUUGCUUUGUAUAAGUUCUCACAACUGUGUUGUAACUUGAGCUGUGAGCACACAGAAGUGGUACAUUGCUCUGCAUUUACGCUGACUAAAACGCACGUUUAUGAACGAAAUAAACGCUUCACUAACGAGGCCCUCAGUUAAUCAUUCGUCUAAUGGCUGAUGGGCAAUGUUUAGCUAGGGUGUUGCAAGCGAGGACGCAAACAAAUGCAAUGCCCAGAUCUAGUGGUUCGUAGGAGAGAGGUGGGCUGAUAUCGAUGCAUGCCAUAGAAAAUCCAUCUGCUAGAGUCAAAUUUCAUGUGGGAAAAGACACCUUUACUAACUUUACAGAUGAUGUCUACAGUAGAUGCACAGUAGAUGCACGUGAACUUGUGAUAGACCGACUGAGGGCAUCUUCAAUAGUUAUGAUGUUGUCGUUGAUAAAGUAUAUAUCCUAUAAAAUAAUGUGUAUGGGAUGAUGUAGCGGAGAAUAAAGUAGAAUAGCGUGGUACAGAUGCACAUGCUCAUAAACUGUACAAGUCUAUAGUGAAUAAUGUGAACUUGUGACGGACCGACUAAGGGCAUCUUCAAUAGUUAUGCAAUAUUUCCUACAUAUACAUAUAGAUGUGCAUUACAUGUUAAUAUACUUUUAUUAAAAAAUGUGUGAUCUAAAAAAGAUACAAUUUGGUAGGCACAUAAUUUCUUAAGAUUUCAAAGUGUAUUUUUAUCUUUCAGAAAGAAAAGGGCCUCCAUGCAACUUGUGAUCUAUUCCUUAUUUUUUUGCGUGCAAGCCAUGCUUUUUGGUUAAUGUCUAAGGAUAUCUUGUAUGUAAAAUAUUCCUAUAUAGUUUUUGUCAAAAUCAAUGGAGACACAACUUAACCAACCUCCACACAAAUAUAUAUGUACUAGCUUUGUCCAUUUGUUCUAAAUUAAUAUGUAAAAUAGCUACUCCAUUUGUUCUAAAUUAAUAAGAGUUCUAGCUUUGUCCGCUCUAUAGAAAAAUAUACUAGUAUAUAUACCACAUCAAAUGUAUAUGCUAUGAAAGUAUAUUUCAUGCUGAAUCAAUGAAACUAUCUUGACGUUAUAAAUGUUGAUACAUCUUUCUAUAGACUUGGUCAAAGUAAAAGAAGUUUGGUUUUUGACAAAACUAGAAUUUUAAUUAAUUUAGAACAGAUGGAGUAUGACCUGCGGGGCUUAGGAGGAAAAAUUGCAUCACCGAUUCACCGUGGCUAUGACCCAAACACCUUGCUAACACCGAGUGGCAAUACCGAGUUGUCUUUUAACCAAGCAGGCCCACAAUGUUUUAAUGCCUUUGAAGUUAGAAUUGUGUUUUGUAUUCCCUAAAUUAUACUCGCUCCGUCCCAAAAUAAGUGUUUGAACUUUGUACUAGCUCUAGUACAAAUUUGUACUAAGCUCGAGACACUUAUUUUGAGACGGAGGGAGUAUUUUGUACUCCCAUUGCUCCAUGGUGCACAGAUGUUAAACAUGUCACAUAAGUGAAAAAACGACAUGGCAAAACAGUUGAGGAGAGAGAACACUUUGAUGAUUCUAGAAAGAGACAAUGCCAAAUGCGUGAACCUAUGCAAAACACUUAAAUGAAGGAAGCUCGCUAAUGUAUGGAAGAGUUUAGUUGCUAAAUAACUAAAUGAAGAUAACUUAUUGAUACGCAUCCAAUGUAUAUAUAAUUUUUUUAUUGUUUCAUGCUACUAUAUUAUUAAUUUUUUAUGCUUUAUACGCCAUUUUAUAUCAUUUUUGGGAAUUAACUUAUUAACUCAGUGCCUACUGCCAGUUCAUGUUUUUUUGCCUAUUUCUUUGUUUCUUAGAAGAACCAUACCAAAAGAAGUCCAAACACGAUGAAACUUUAUGGUAAUUUUUUAUGGACCAGAAGAUACCCUAGAAGCUAAGGGGAGGUCUAGAAGACCUACCAGAGGCCCACAAGCUCAGGUGGCGUGCCCCCCCAAGCUUGUGGGCUCCUCGAGGCUCCGUUUGCCCUAAUUCUGGCGCUACAAAUUCCCUAAAAUCUAGAAACCCCAGAGUGAGACCCAAAACAUUUUUAUCGCCACCGCAAGCCUUUGUUCUUGUGCGAUCUUGAUACAUCCAUUUUGCAUCAUGCUUUUAUAUCGAUAUUUAUUGCAUUAUGGGUUGUCAUUUCACGUUAUGUCACAAUACUUAUGGCUAUUCUCUCUUAUUUUACAAGGUUUACAUGAAGAGGGAGAAUGCCAGCAGCUGGAAUUCUGGGCUGAAAAAGGAGCAAAUAUUGGAGGCCUAUUCUGUGCAACUCCAAAGGUCCUGAAACUCCAUAGAAUACCUUAAAAUAAAUAAAGAAAAAUUGUCGCCAAAUAUGAAGGCCAGGGGGCCCACACCCUGCUCAUGAGGGUGGGGGGCGCCCCCCCUGGGCGCGCCCCCUACCUCGUGGGCCCCCUGGUGGCUCUCUGACGCCCUUCUUCUCCUAUAUGAAGUCUUUCGAUGAGAAAAAAAUACGAAGCAACCUUUCGGGACGAGACUCCGCCGCCACGAGGCGGAACCUUGGCGGAACCAAUCUAGGGCUCCGGUAGAGCUGUUCUGCCGGGGACACUUCCCGCCGGGAGGGGGAAAUCAUCACCAUCGUCAUCACCAACGCUCCUCUCAUUGGGAGAGGGCAAUCUCCAUCAACAUCUUCACCAGCACCAUCUCAUCUCCAAACCCUAGUUCAUCUCUUGUAUCCAAUUCUUGUCUCCAAGUCCGGAUUGGUGCUAGUAGGUUGCUAGUAGUGUUGAUUACUCCUUGUAGUUGAUGCUAGUUGGUUUAUUUGGUGGAAGAUCAUAUGUUCAAAUCCUUUAUGCACAUUAUUACCCCUCUGAUUAUGAACAUGAAUAUGCUUUGUGAGUAGUUACGUUUGUUCCUGAGGACAAGGGAGAAGUCUUGCUAUUAGUAGUCAUGUGAAUUUGGUAUUCGUUCGAUAUUUUGAUAAGAUGUAUGUUGUCUAACCUCUAGUGGUGUUAUGUGAACGUCGACUACAUAACACUUCACCAUUAUUUGGGCCUAGAGGAAGGCAUUGGGAAGUAGUAAGUAGAUGAUGGGUUGCUAGAGUGACAGAAGCUUAAACCCUAGUUUAUGCGUUGCUUCGUAAGGGGCCGAUUUGGAUCCAUAUGUUUCAUGCUAUGGUUAGGUUUACCUUAAUACUUUUGUUGUAGUUGCGCAUGCUUGCAAUAGAGGUUAAUCAUAAUUGGGAUGCUUGUUCAAGUAAGAACAACACCCAAGCACUGGUCCACCCACAUAUCAAACUAUCAAAGUACCGAACGCGAAUCAUAUGAGCGCGAUGAAAACUAGCUUGACGAUAUUCCCAUGUGUCCUCGGGAGCGCUUUUCCUAUUAUAAGAGUUUGUCCAGGCUCAUCCUUUGCUACAAAAAGGAUUGGGCCAUCUUGCUGCACUUUAUUUACACUUGUUACUUGUUGCUUGUUACAAUUUAUCUUAUCACAAAACUAUCUGUUACCACUUAUUUCAGUACUUGCAGAGAAUACCUUACUGAAAACCGCUUAUCAUUUCCUUCUGCUCCUCGUUGGGUUCGACACUCUUACUUAUCGAAAGGACUACGAUAGGUCCCCUAUACUUGUGGGUCAUCAAGACUCUUUUCUGGCGCCGUUGCCGGGGAGUGAAGCGCCUUUGGUAGGUGGAAUUUGGUAAGGAAAAAUUUAUUUAGUGUGCUGAAAUUUUCUGUCACUUGUUACUAUGGAAAGUAAUUGUCUGAGGGGCUUGUUCGGGGUAUCUUCACCCCGUCCAGUAGAGCAAAGGGUUGCUCCUCAACCUACUCAACUUACUGAACCUAUUGAAAAUGAAACUCCUUUUGAGAUUCCUUCGGGUUUGAUGGAAAAACUGCUAGCUAACACUUUUACAGGAGAUGGAACAAAGCAUCCUGAUGAACAUCUACGCUAUGUGGAUGAUGUUUGUGGACUAUUUAAGCUUGCAGGUAUACCCGAUGAUGUUGUUAAGAAGAAGGCUUUCCCUUUAUCUUUGAAGGGAGACACAUUGACAUGGUACAGGCUAUGUGAUGAUAUGAGAUCAUGGAACUAUAAAAGAUUGAAAUUGGAAUUUCAUCAAAAGUAUUACCCUAUGCAUCUUGUUCAUCGUGAUCGCAAUUAUAUAUAUAAUUAUUGGCCUCGCGAAGGAGAAAGCAUCGCUCAAGCUUGGGGGAGGCUUAAAUCAAUGUUAUAUUCAUGCCCCAAUCAUGAGCUCGCAAGAGAAGUGAUUAUGCAAAGUUUUUAUGCUCGGCUUUCUGAAAACAAUCGCACCAUGCUCGAUACUUCUUGUGCUGGCUCUUUUAUGAUGAAGACUAUUGAAUUUAGAUGGAAUUUAUUGGAUAGAAUUAAAUGCAACUCUGGAGAUUGGGACCUCGACGAAAGUAAGGAGUCAGGUAUGACACCUAAGUUUGAUUGUGUUAAAUCUUUUAUGAAUACCGAUAUUUUUCGUAAGUUUAGCACUAAACAUGGACUUGAUUAUGAGAUAGUAGCUUCUUUCUGUGAAUCUUUUGCUACUUAUGUUGAUCUCCCCAAGGAGAAGUGGUUUAAAUAUUAUCCUCCCAUAGAAGUAAAAGUAGCUGCACCUAUUAAAGUUGAAGAAAAGACUGUCACGUAUAAUGAUCCUAUUGUUCCCAUUUCUUAUGUUGAGAAACCACCUUUCCCCGUUAGAGUGAAGGAUCAUGCUAAAGCUUCAACUGUUGUCCAUAAAAGCAAUAUUAGAACUUAUACACCUCCUGAGCAAGUCAAAGUAGAACCCAAUAUUUCUAUUGUUAAAGAUCUCUUGUAUGAUAAUAUUGAUGGACAUGUUAUUCAAUUCCAGGGUGAAACUGCUAGAAUUGCUAAACCUUGUGAUAGAGAUAAACAUAGACCUGUGGUAGGCGUGCCUGUUAUUUCUGUUAAAAUAGGAGAUCAUUGUUAUCAUAGCUUGUGUGAUAUGGGUGCUAGUGCUAGUCUUAUACCCAUUGUCUUAUACAAAGAAAUUAUGCAUGAUAUUGCACCUGCUGAGUUAGAAGAUAUUGAUGUUACAAUUAAACUUGCCAAUAGAGAUAUUAUAUUUGCAAUGGGAAUUGUUAGAGAUGUUGAAGUCUUGUGUAGGAAAACCAAAUAUCCCACUGAUUUUCUUGUUCUUGGUUCUCCACAAGAUAGCUUUUGUCCCAUUAUAUUUGGUAGACCCUUCUUGAAUACUAUUAAUGCUACGAUAGACUGCAAAAAGAAUGUUAUUACUGUUGGCUUGGAUGAUAUGGUUCAAGAGUUUAAUUUCUCUAAAUUUAGUAAACAACAUCGUGAGGAAGAAUUGCCUAGUAAGGACGAAAUUAUUGGUAUUGCUUCUAUUGCCGUACCUCCUAGUGAUCCUUUAGAACAAUAUUUGGUAGACCAUGAAAAUGAUAUGUUCAUGAAUGAAAGAAGGGAAAUAGAUGAGGUAUUCUUUAAACAGGAACCUAUUCUGCAACACAAUUUUCCUGUUGAAAUUCUAGGGGAUCCUCCUCCACCCAAGGGACCGUUGCCUGAUAAUCUUAAAUAUGCUUAUCUUGAUGAAAAGAAAAUAUAUCCUGUUAUUAUUAGUGCUAAUCUUUUAGAGCAUGAAGAAGAAAGAUUAUUGAAAACUCUGAAGAAGCACCGUGCUGCUAUUGGAUAUACUCUGGAUGAUCUUAAGGGCAUCAGUCCCACUCUAUGUCAACAUAAAAUAAAUUUGGAAGCUGAUGCCAAACCAGUUUGUGAUCUUCAAUGACGUUUGAAUCCUAAAAUGAAAGAAGUGGUAAGAAAGGAAAUACUCAAGCUUCUGGAGGCAGGUAUAAUUUAUCCCGUUGCUGAUAGUCAGUUGGCAAGUCCUGUCCAUUGUGUCCCUAAGAAGGGAUGUAUUAUUGUUGUCCCUAAUGAUAAAGAUGAAUUGAUUCCGCAAAGAAUCAUCACAGGUUAUAGGAUGGUAAUUGAUUUCCACAAAUUAAAUAAGGCUACUAAGAAAGAUCAUUACCCCUUACCUUUUAUUGAUCAAAUGCUAGAAAGAUUAUGCAAACAUACACACUAUUGCUUUCUAGAUGGUUAUUCCGUUUUUUCUCAAAUACCUGUGUUGGCUAAAGAUCAAUCAAAGACUACUUUUACAUGCCCUUUUGGUACUUUUGCUUAUAGACGUAUGCCUUUCGGUUUAUGUAAUGCACCUGCUACCUUUCAAAGAUGCAUGAUGGCUAUAUUCUCUGACUUUUGCGAGAAAAUUUGUGAGGUUUUCAUGGACGACUUUUCCGUCUAUGGUUCCUCUUUUGAUGAUUGCUUGAGCAAUCUUGCUCGAGUUUUGCAGAGAUGUGAAGAAACUAAUCUUGUCUUGAAUUGGGAAAAGUGCCACUUUAUGGUUAAUGAAGGUAUUGUCUUGGGGCACAAAGUUUCUGAAAGAGGUAUUGAAGUUGAUAAAGCCAAGGUUGAUGCUAUUGAAAAGAUGCCAUGUCCCAAGGACAUCAAAGGUAUAAGAAGUUUCCUUAGUCACGCCGGAUUUUAUAGGAGGUUCAUUAAGGACUUCUCAAAAAUCUCUCGGCCUGUGACUAAUUUAUUACAAAAAGAUGUAUCAUUUGUCUUUGAUGAUGAUUGUGUAGAAGCAUUUGAAAUACUUAAGAAAGCAUUAGUCUCUGCACCUGUUGUUCAACCACCUGAUUGGAAUUUACCCUUUGAAAUUAUGUGUGAUGCUAGUGAUUAUGCUGUAGGUGUUGUUCUAGGGCAAAGAGUUGAUAAGAAAUUAAAUGUUAUCCAUUAUGCUAGUAAGACUCUAGACAGUGCUCAAAGAAAUUAUGCUACUACCGAAAAGGAACUUUUAGCAGUUGUGUUUGCUUGUGAUAAGUUUAGACCUUAUAUUGUUGAUUCCAAA